RNA transcript from Papilio polytes (common Mormon), 371 nucleotides. RefSeq lists it as uncharacterized. The record is from RefSeq and is a predicted model, not a curated record. The transcript is spliced from 3 exons. NCBI's taxonomy places the organism in Eukaryota, Metazoa, Arthropoda, Insecta, Lepidoptera, Papilionidae.
CUGAGCUAUGAUAUAUCAAAAUGCAAGUUUUUCGUAUACAGUUAUUUCUCUACAUUAUAAGUCCUUUAACAAUUAGAAGUACAAACAUUUACAAUUUAACGGACAGUACGUCGUCAUAAGCUGAACAUGCGCUGCACGUACCGCUUCACACCGGGCACGUGCGCUGACGCUGUAGUACCAGUUUGGACUUUCGAUUUUUUCGCGUUAAAUUGCACUGAACGCUUGGGAUGCUAUCUAUCGACCAUAUCUAACAGAUUCCGGAGUUACAUGCAGUGCACACGUUCGUGUCGCGCGUUCGUCGAUCUGUACACGCAAACGCUGUCCGAAGACGACGGACAGUUCAAGAGAUUACGAUCGGAAAUCGGUUAGUA